CCUACGGGUGGCAGCAGUGGGGAAUAUUGGUCAAUGGACGAGAGUCUGAUCCAGCGAAGUAGCGUGAAGGAUGACUGCCCUCUGGGUUGUAAACUUCUUUUAUAAAGGAAUAAAACGAGGCACGUGUGCCUUUUUGCAUGUACUUUAUGCAUAAGGAUCGGCUAACUCCGUGCCAGCAGCCGCGGUAAUACGGAGGGUCCGAGCGUUAUCCGGAUUUAUUGGGGUUAAAGGGAGAGUAGAUGGGUUGUUAAGUCAGUGGUGAAAGUUUGCGGCUCAACCGUAAAAUUGCAAUUGAUACUGGAAGUCUUGAGUACAGUUGAGGUAGGCGGAAUUCGUGGUGUAGCGGUGAAAUGCUUAGAUAUCACGAAGAACCCCGAUUGCGAAGGCAGCUUACUAAGCUGUGACUGACAUUGAGGCUCGAAAGUGUGGGGAGCAAACAGGAUUAGAUACCCGAGUAGUC
This 460-nucleotide ribosomal RNA is filed under the name uncultured bacterium. RNAcentral describes it as "partial 16S ribosomal RNA". It matches the Rfam family "Bacterial small subunit ribosomal RNA", at positions 338 to 795 of the family's 1533-position model. The record is from RNAcentral.